Molecule: ribosomal RNA, 1029 nt
Filed under: human gut metagenome
Description: bacterial LSU rRNA
Rfam family: Bacterial large subunit ribosomal RNA
Source: RNAcentral
AUCCCGGUGCAAGCGAGGUAGGAGUGCUGUUGGCAAAUCCGCAGCACGAUCUGAAGACGUGACGCGUACCGAACAUAAGUAGGGAAGUCCAGGCCCCUGGCUGUCAAGAAAAGCCGCUAUCGUUUUAUAUGUGCCCGUACCGCAAACCGACACAGGUGGAUGAGGAGAGAAUCCUAAGGCCGACGGGAGAAGUAUUGUUAAGGAACUCGGCAAAAUGACUCCGUAACUUCGGGAGAAGGAGUGCCAUGAGAGUGGCCGCAGAGAAAUGGCCCAAGCAACUGUUUAGCAAAAACACAGGUCUAUGCAAAACCGCAAGGUGAAGUAUAUGGGCUGACGCCUGCCCGGUGCUGGAAGGUUAAGGGGAGAGGUUAGCGCAAGCGAAGCUUUGAACUUAAGCCCCAGUAAACGGCGGCCGUAACUAUAACGGUCCUAAGGUAGCGAAAUUCCUUGUCGGGUAAGUUCCGACCCGCACGAAAGGCGUAAUGAUUUGGGCACUGUCUCAACGAUACACCCGGUGAAAUUGAAAUACCAGUGAAGAUGCUGGUUACCUGCGCCAGGACGGAAAGACCCCAUGGAGCUUUACUCCAGUUUGAUACUGGGAUUCGGCAUGGUAUGUACAGGAUAGGUGGGAGACUGAGAAGGUAUGACGUCAGUUGUACCGGAGUCGCUGUUGGGAUACCACCCUUACCAUGUUGGAUUUCUAACCUGUGGCCGUAAGCCGGUCAGGGGACAAUGUCAGGCGGGGAGUUUGACUGGGGCGGUCGCCUCCGAAAGGGUAUCGGAGGCGCUCAAAGGUUCCCUCAGAAUGGUUGGAAACCAUUCGAAGAGUGCAAAGGCAGAAGGGAGCUUGACUGCGACACCGACGGGUGGAGCAGGUACGAAAGUAGGACUUAGUGAUCCGGUGGUAUAAAGUGGGAUUGCCAUCGCUCAACGGAUAAAAGCUACCCUGGGGAUAACAGGCUUAUCACUCCCAAGAGUUCACAUCGACGGAGUGGUUUGGCACCUCGAUGUCGGCUCAUCGCAUCCUGG